CCUACGGGUGGCAGCAGUAGGGAAUUUUGCGCAAUGGGCGAAAGCCUGACGCAGCAACGCCGCGUGAUUGAUUAAGCCCUUCGGGGUGUAAAGAUCUGUCAGUGGGGACGAAACUUGACGGUACCCACAGAGGAAGCACCGGCUAACUCCGUGCCAGCAGCCUCGGUAAUCCGGAGGGUCCAAGCGUUGUCCGGAAUCAUUGGGCGUAAAGGGUUCGUAGGUGGCAUAUUAAGUCUGGUGUUAAAUGCAGAAGCUCAACUUCUGUUCGGGACUGGAUACUGGUAAGCGUGAAGGCGGUAGAGGUAAAGGGAAUUCCUGGGGUAGCGGUGAAAUGCGUAGAUAGCAGGAGGAACAACGGGGGCGUAAGCGCAUUACUGGGCCGUAAUUGACACUGAGGAACGAAAGCCGGGGGAGCAAAUGGGAUUAGAGACCCCAGUAGUC
RNAcentral lists this ribosomal RNA (441 nucleotides) under uncultured bacterium. Its description in RNAcentral is "partial 16S ribosomal RNA". It matches the Rfam family "Bacterial small subunit ribosomal RNA", at positions 338 to 795 of the family's 1533-position model. The record is from RNAcentral.